UUGUAAAUAGCUGGUAGCUCAAAUAAAAUAUGUGUGCAGAAUAAAAGUAUAAAAGUAUUACGUUUUGUUGUCUCGCUUAAUUCAAUGCGCUUUGUAUUCUCAGUUCACAUUUCGCAGGGAUUUCAACAUUUCACACGUAUCUUUAACACACUCUAUUCAUAUACACCUAAUUACUUUAAUUACUUCCCUUUGGGCCUGGUUAAAUAUUAUUGCUCGAGAAUUAGUUGAAAGUAUAUCUUCGCCUAAAUUUAGCGCGUAAAGCAAAAAUAAAAUGGUGUGAUUUAUUAGAUUGUACGCAGAAAAUUACUUGAUUCACAGCAAUUUCUCCUCCAAGGAUAACCCUGGUGUCAUGUUCGUUUACACGACCUUUCUGCAUAAACGCUUUGUUGUUAGGAUAUUAAACUCUAUCCACACCAACAAAUUGAGGAAGCUACCGAAUAUUUUACUGUCUUUCGGGGUGACGGAAAAUCUUGGAGUGGACAACCUAAAACCAAAUGAGAUCCAUGAAUUGUACUGUUACAUAACGAUCGAGCCCAUUCCGUGAUAUAUUGUUCUUAAAUUGUAAAUAUGCGAUGAGGAACUUCGAUAAUUUAAAUAUAACACUGAGUAAGGCCAAAGAAGACAAGUUCAGAGCCUUAAAACCACUUCAAUGUUAGUGACAACAAUACCAUAGAAAUGAGUAACUUUGCGAAUAAUAAAAAAUAAACCAAAAUGUCAAAA
Long non-coding RNA from Zeugodacus cucurbitae (melon fly), 720 nucleotides. RefSeq lists it as uncharacterized. NCBI's taxonomy places the organism in Eukaryota, Metazoa, Arthropoda, Insecta, Diptera, Tephritidae. The record is from RefSeq and is a predicted model, not a curated record. The transcript has 2 exons.